UGCUCUUGCACUCGGCGGGACGCCGUUACGUAACGGCGCGGCGAGACUGCGUCUGGUAUUCAGGUGACAUCUUUGCGGGAAUAACCGUCGCUGGAGAUCCUCGUUCCGAGGAGACUCAGGACUCGUGGGAAGAUCCGACGCCAUUUAUGAGGUUAUGGUCAGUUGCACAACGGCAAGGAAUUCAGAAGUCCCAUAGAAGCCCAGAUCCUAUGUGAAGGUUACGAUGACGCUAAAGACCGCCGAAAAUUCCACGGCUGACGUUCUUCGUGAACUUGAGCGUCAAGGUUGGUCGGGGACACCACGUUGGAGGUUUUCUAAUUCUAAAUAUACCAUUUCGGGGUCCCCCAGAGGAGCUGGACCGAGGAGGGAAACGGUAAUCUCUUGGUCGGAACGAGGGAAAAAGAAUCCACUGAUUUGAAUUCCACGCCAUGAUGAAUGCAACGAUCGGGCGGUUAUUAAGGCAGCCGCUCGAUUAUGACAGGAAAUCAUGAAAAUUUAUGAGAUACUGGCCACUAUACUACCGAGGAAUACUAUUAUCUUGCGAUUUUAUCGGAAACUAACCGGAUAGAAAACGUAACAGAUAUUUUUGUCGAUCAAUAGUUAUGUAAACUAAUAAUUAUUGAACCACUUCGACAUUUUUUGCACAUUGAUAUGUUUUAAAUUUCGUAACAAAUUUGGAAGGUUAAACUAUGUUCGAAAUAAAAUGAAGAAGAAAUAAGUGAAAUUUAUGAGAUACUGACCACUAUACUACCGAGGAAUACUAUUAUCUUGCGAUUUUAUCGAAAACUAACCGGAUGGAAAACGUAACAGAUAUUUUUGUCAAUCAAUAGUUACGCAAACUAAUAAUUGUCAGCCUAAUAAACUAGUAGAGGAAAUGAAUAAAUUAGCAAAUGAAUGGAUCAGUAAAUAAGUAUCUCAUAAGUCAAGAGGCAUUGUCCCAAAAUAUAUGCGCGGUAAUACUGGUCAUUUAUUAUCAUUAGAAAAUGGACGGCGAGUGUUUAAGUAUUUCUUAGACUCUAUUAAAAAUACCUAAACGUCCGUCUAGGACGUUCAGGACGGACAAACAUUUUAUGUUCCCAACUGUGAACAUAAAAAAAGAAAAAAAAAAGAGCAACUCACGCAGUUUUAUCGCGUGUUUAUUAUCAUACACAUAAAUCUGAAAACAUAAUUCCAUUUCAUUAUCUUUGCCUCUUUAAAGCGUGAACCAUUCCAAGUAUUAAAUAGCGAAACGAGUGGUUAAACAAAUGAAAUUGAAACGCGAAAAUUAAGGCAAGUCGAACACUAAAGACACAUACAUUAAGUACGUAGAAAAAUGCUUUAAGAAACAUUUAAUGAAUCGUGUGAGUCAUUUAGCAUGAAACAUCGGCAUAUCCGGUAA
Long non-coding RNA from Orussus abietinus, 1378 nucleotides. RefSeq lists it as uncharacterized. The transcript has 3 exons. The record is from RefSeq and is a predicted model, not a curated record. NCBI's taxonomy places the organism in Eukaryota, Metazoa, Arthropoda, Insecta, Hymenoptera, Orussidae.